Molecule: long non-coding RNA, 831 nt
Filed under: Coffea arabica (coffee)
Lineage: Eukaryota; Viridiplantae; Streptophyta; Magnoliopsida; Gentianales; Rubiaceae
Description: long non-coding RNA (CARA_LNC000032)
Source: RNAcentral
AUAUAGGAAAUUAUAGAAGAGGAGCAAAUCCACAGAUAUCCUAAUCAAUUUCAAGGAAACAGAAAAAAAACAAGUAGGGAAAGAGAAAACUCCUCCAAAAUCUUGUAAACUGGAAUAGCAGGUCACACAAAUGACGAGAAUGCUCCAAUCCAAACUUCCCUAAAAUGAAGACAAUAGAUAAGCUAUUAUCAACGAAUACCAACUAUUUUUAUGCAACAGAAAGAAUUGGUUGGCAGAAAAAAAAAACUCCCGAUUUAUCACAUUCAUCCAUCCAAGAAGAGCUCUUUUUUGCUUAGGGAAGGAAAGAGAAAACUCCUCCAAAAUCUUGUAAACUGGAAUAGCAGGUCACACAAAUGAUGAGAAUGCUCCAAUCCAAACUUUCCUAAAAUGAAGACAAUAGAUAAGCUAUUACCAACGAAUACCAACGAAUACCAACUAUUUUUAUGCAACAGAAAGAAUUGGUUGGCAGAAAAAAAAAACUCCCGAUUUAUCACAUUCAUCCAUCCAAGAAGAGCUCUUUUUUGAUUCCAUCCAUCCAAGAAUCACGAAUCACUUCACUGAAACCCUAAGUUGCAGCACCCUAGUAAUAUGGGAAAUUAGAGAACAAGGAGCAAAUCCACAAAUUUCCUAAUCAAUUUCAAGGAAACAGCAGAAAAACAAGUAGGGAAAGAGAAAGCUCCUCCAAAAUCUUGUAAACUGGAAUAGCAGGUCACACGAAUGACAAGAAUGCUCCGAUCCAAACUUCCCUAAAAUGCAGACAAUAGAUAAGCUAUUACCAACGAAUACCAGCUAUUUGUAGGCAAAAGAAAGAAUUGGUUGGCAGAGAAAAAA